This 319-nucleotide long non-coding RNA is filed under the name Chlamydomonas reinhardtii. Its description in RNAcentral is "long non-coding RNA (CREI_LNC000230)". Lineage: Eukaryota; Viridiplantae; Chlorophyta; Chlorophyceae; Chlamydomonadales; Chlamydomonadaceae. The record is from RNAcentral.
UCACUUACUUCGCAAUUCAGGUCAGGCAGGGGCCCAAACCGGGCGCUGCUGCGUCUGCUGGUGGACAAGUACGCCCACCUGGUGGUCUACGUGGACGAAUACUACACCAGCCAGGUACGCUGUAAUCUUCACAAAGCAAUGCGCACAACGCUCAAUGCACACGUACCUUACCUGGCCCAAACCUAUCUCUGUGUCUGAGCAGGUGUGUGCGAAGUGCGGACGGCGGCUGCUUGGUAACGGGCAGCGCUGCCUGGAAGUUGUGAUUCCGUUUGGUGGCUCGCGUGCCCGCGACGUCCAAGUGUGCCAACACUGCGGGACU